AAAUUGAAGAGUUUGAUCAUGGCUCAGAUUGAACGCUGGCGGCAGGCCUAACACAUGCAAGUCGAACGGUAACAGGAAUCAGCUUGCUGAUUUGCUGACGAGUGGCGGACGGGUGAGUAAUGUCUGGGAAACUGCCUGAUGGAGGGGGAUAACUACUGGAAACGGUAGCUAAUACCGCAUAAUGUCGCAAGA
RNAcentral lists this ribosomal RNA (192 nucleotides) under Escherichia coli. RNAcentral's name for it is "partial 16S ribosomal RNA". It matches the Rfam family "Bacterial small subunit ribosomal RNA", at positions 1 to 186 of the family's 1533-position model. The record is from RNAcentral. Lineage: Bacteria; Pseudomonadati; Pseudomonadota; Gammaproteobacteria; Enterobacterales; Enterobacteriaceae.